CGCAAGCCUGACGGAGCAAGACCGCGUGGGGGAGGAAAGCCUUUGGGUUGUAAACCCCUUUUCUCAGGGAAGAAGAAAGUGACGGUACCUGAGGAAUCAGCCUCGGCUAACUCCGUGCCAGCAGCCGCGGUAAUACGGAGGAGGCAAGCGUUAUCCGGAAUGAUUGGGCGUAAAGCGUUCGUAGGUGGCAAUUCAAGUCUGCUGUCAAAGACAGUAGCUCAACUACUGCAAGGCAGUGGAAACUGAAUAGCUAGAGUGCGGUAGGGGCAGAGGGAAUUCCCGGUGUAGCGGUGAAAUGCGUAGAGAUCGGGAAGAACACCGGUGGCGAAAGCGCUCUGCUGGGCCGCAACUGACACUGAGGGACGAAAGCUAGGGGAGCGAAAGGGAUUAGAUACCCCUGUAGUC
Molecule: ribosomal RNA, 405 nt
Filed under: uncultured cyanobacterium
Lineage: Bacteria; Bacillati; Cyanobacteriota
Description: bacterial SSU rRNA
Rfam family: Bacterial small subunit ribosomal RNA
Source: RNAcentral